Molecule: ribosomal RNA, 253 nt
Filed under: uncultured bacterium
Lineage: Bacteria
Description: partial 16S ribosomal RNA
Rfam family: Bacterial small subunit ribosomal RNA
Source: RNAcentral
UACAGAGGGUGCAAACGUUGUUCGGAAUUACUGGGCGUAAAGCGCGUGUAGGCGGUUUGGUAAGUCGGAUGUGAAAGCCCCGGGCUCAACCCGGGAAGUGCACUCGAUACUGCCAAGCUAGAGUAUCGGAGAGGUUGGUGGAAUUCUCGGUGUAGAGGUGAAAUUCGUAGAUAUCGAGAGGAACACCGGUGGCGAAGGCGGCCAACUGGACGAAUACUGACGCUGAGACUCGAAAGCGUGGGGAGCGAACAGG